Molecule: ribosomal RNA, 253 nt
Filed under: uncultured bacterium
Lineage: Bacteria
Description: partial 16S ribosomal RNA
Rfam family: Bacterial small subunit ribosomal RNA
Source: RNAcentral
UACGAAGGGGGCUAGCGUUGUUCGGAAUCACUGGGCGUAAAGCGCACGUAGGCGGAUCUUUAAGUCAGGGGUGAAAUCCCGAGGCUCAACCUCGGAACUGCCUUUGAUACUGGGGAUCUCGAGUCCGGGAGAGGUGAGUGGAACUGCGAGUGUAGAGGUGAAAUUCGUAGAUAUUCGCAAGAUCACCAGUGGCGAAGGCGGCUCACUGGCCCGGAACUGACGCUGAGGUGCGAAAGCCAGGGGAGCAAACGGG